AAGAACUAACAUUAAAAAACAACUUAAAAAAAAAAUCUCAACAAAAAUACAACAAAAUCAAUAAUAAACCUAUAAUAUCAAUGUCAAUAAACCUAUAACGUAUUUAUUUCAACAAAAACAACAACAUAUAACAUUAAUCUUAAUUUAAAUAACAACAAGAUUAAACAUCUAACGAGUCUCAAAAACAACAACAAGAUUAAAACCUCUAAGGUUUCCAAGCUCAACAACAAAACAACAACAACAACAACAACAUUAAUGUAACAUGAAUAGUGAUGUUAGAC
This 281-nucleotide long non-coding RNA is filed under the name Lathyrus oleraceus (garden pea). Its description in RNAcentral is "Pisum sativum (pea) long non-coding RNA (PSAT_LNC036697)". The record is from RNAcentral. Lineage: Eukaryota; Viridiplantae; Streptophyta; Magnoliopsida; Fabales; Fabaceae.